This 374-nucleotide ribosomal RNA is filed under the name uncultured bacterium. RNAcentral's name for it is "partial 16S ribosomal RNA". It matches the Rfam family "Bacterial small subunit ribosomal RNA", at positions 28 to 394 of the family's 1533-position model. The record is from RNAcentral.
GACGAACGUUGGCGGCGUGCUUAAUACAUGCAAGUCGAGCGAGGCCCAUCCAGUGGCAACACUGGGGAAGGCCGAGCGGCGAACGGGUGAGUAACACGUGAGCAACCUGCCCCGAAGUCUGGAAUAACAUCGGGAAACCGGUGCUAAUACCGGAUUGCCCCACCCUGACCGCAUGAUCGGGUGAGGAAAGAUUUAUCGCUUCGGGAGGGGCUCGCGGCCUAUCAGCUAGUUGGCGGGGAACGGCCCACCAAGGCGUCGACGGGUAGCUGGUCUGAGAGGACGACCAGCCACACUGGGACUGAGACACGGCCCAGACUCCUACGGGAGGCAGCAGUAGGGAAUCUUGCGCAAUGGGCGAAAGCCUGACGCAGCAA